AACGAACGCUGGCGGCAUGCCUAGCACAUGCAAGUCGAACGAGACCUUCGGGUCUAGUGGCGCACGGGUGCGUAACGCGUGGGAACCUGCCCUUAGGUUCGGAAUAACUCCCCGAAAGGGGUGCUAAUACCGGAUAAUGUCUUCGGACCAAAGAUUUAUCGCCUUUGGAUGGGCCCGCGUUGGAUUAGCUAGUUGGUAGGGUAAAAGCCUACCAAGGCGACGAUCCAUAGCUGGUCUGAGAGGAUGAUCAGCCACACUGGGACUGAGACACGGCCCAGACUCCUACGGGAGGCAGCAGUGGGGGAUAUUGGACAAUGGGGGAAAGCCUGAUCCAGCAAUGCCGCGUGAGUGAUGAAGGCCUUAGGGUUGUAAAGCUCUUUUACCCGGGAUGAUAAUGACAGUACCGGGAGAAUAAGCUCCGGCUAACUCCGUG
RNAcentral lists this ribosomal RNA (433 nucleotides) under uncultured bacterium. Its description in RNAcentral is "partial 16S ribosomal RNA". It matches the Rfam family "Bacterial small subunit ribosomal RNA", at positions 29 to 507 of the family's 1533-position model. The record is from RNAcentral.